RNAcentral lists this transfer RNA (62 nucleotides) under Psephenothrips eriobotryae. RNAcentral describes it as "tRNA-Ile". The record is from RNAcentral. Lineage: Eukaryota; Metazoa; Arthropoda; Insecta; Thysanoptera; Phlaeothripidae.
AAAUAAGUGCCUGAAAAAGGAUUAUCUUGAUAGGAUAAAUUAUGUAUAUAUUACCUUAUUUU